Long non-coding RNA from Pezoporus occidentalis (night parrot), 382 nucleotides. RefSeq lists it as uncharacterized. The record is from RefSeq and is a predicted model, not a curated record. The transcript has 2 exons. NCBI's taxonomy places the organism in Eukaryota, Metazoa, Chordata, Aves, Psittaciformes, Psittacidae.
GAUUAUCAUAUUUAGGCAAACAGAAACCCAUAGUGACACCUUCCUGCAAGUACCACUGUGUUUCUAGUUCCAGAAGUACUUGGAAGCAUUCUGUGCCAUGAGCAGACUGGGCAAUUAACUGCUGCCAUUAAUGCCCUUAGCAGCUCUUUGCCUAAGGAGAAUUAUACUCAUCCUUGCUUCUCUACCUUCUUUUCGACAGGAGGCAAGAAGAAUGCUUCCCAGAGGGUAGUGUUGUAUUGAGAUUCUAACUGCCUUGUCUGCCACAUAUUGCAGAGUAGAAACAAGCUUCCACAACUGCACGACAAAAUACCUCUGCUUUCUGGGAUGAUCCUGGAAUAAGUGCGUCCUGACAUAACUGACUUGAAAUAAACAGAACUGAAUG